This 406-nucleotide ribosomal RNA is filed under the name uncultured bacterium. RNAcentral describes it as "partial 16S ribosomal RNA". It matches the Rfam family "Bacterial small subunit ribosomal RNA", at positions 30 to 526 of the family's 1533-position model. The record is from RNAcentral.
AUUGAACGCUGGCGGCAGGCCUAACACAUGCAAGUCGAGCGAGCGGGGCACGCGUGAGUAAUGUGUGGGAAACUCCCUGAUGGGGGGGGAUAACUACUGGAGACGCUAGCUAAUACCGCAUACCAUCAGAGGUGCCCACAUGGGGUUAGCUAGUAGGUGGGGUAAUGGCUCACCUAGGCGACGCUCCCUAGCUGGUCUGAGAGGAUGACCAGCCACACUGCAACUGAGACACGGUCCAGACUCCUACGGGAGGCAGCAGUGGGGAAUAUUGCACAAUGGGCGCAAGCCUGAUGCAGCCAUGCCGCGUGUGUGAAGAAGGCCUUCGGGUUGUAAAGCACUUUCAGCGGGGAGGCGUUACCCGCAGAAGAAGCACCGGCUAACUCCGUGCCAGCAGCCGCGGUAAUAC